Molecule: ribosomal RNA, 336 nt
Filed under: uncultured Anaerolineaceae bacterium
Lineage: Bacteria; Bacillati; Chloroflexota; Anaerolineae; Anaerolineales; Anaerolineaceae
Description: bacterial SSU rRNA
Rfam family: Bacterial small subunit ribosomal RNA
Source: RNAcentral
UGCACAGGUGCUGCAUGGCUGUCGUCAGCUCGUGUCGUGAGAUGUCCGGUUAAUCCGGUAACGAGCGCAACCCUCGCUGUAUGUUAUACGUGUCAUACGGGACUGCCGGUAUCAAGCCGGAGGAAGGUGGGGAUGACGUCAAGUCAGCAUGGCCUUUAUGUCUGGGGCUACACACACGCUACAAUGGCCAGUACAAUAGGUUGCAAGACCGCGAGGCGGAGCCAAUCCUAAAAGCUGGUCUCAGUUCGGAUUGCAGGCUGCAACUCGCCUGCAUGAAGUCGGAGUUGCUAGUAACCGCGCGUCAGCUAUAGUGCGGUGAAUACGUUCCCGGGCCUU